RNAcentral lists this long non-coding RNA (374 nucleotides) under Mus caroli (Ryukyu mouse). RNAcentral describes it as "predicted gene, 27019 (MGP_CAROLIEiJ_G0006302.1)". Lineage: Eukaryota; Metazoa; Chordata; Mammalia; Rodentia; Muridae. The record is from RNAcentral.
AAAGACCUGAACUCACUGCUGCCCUCUGGCAUAAGUGGGCAGGGUCUCAUUAGCAUCAGUGUGGUGCUUUGCCUUUGAGAGGAUCCCAAAUUGUGCUCACCAGAUCAAUUUGGAAGUAAAAAGUGUCACGCUUAUCAAGUGUGCUGAGCUCUGCCACGCUGCAGUAUGAAUGUGUAAGCCUCGUGCUCACUGUCCCACGUCUGCUCUCGGGUGAGGGCUCAGUUACCAUUUGGAGGGAAGAAUGCCAUGAGUGGCCGACAUGUCACACCCCCACCCCCACCCGCUAGAUGAGGUCAGCAUAGGAUCGCCUGAAAUUAGCAACUAUUGCGCGGCCUUCCCCUUCCCUCUCCGUGGAGACGACAAAGCUUCUUCAG